GAGCCUUGAUCAGAGUAACUGUCUUGGCUACAUUCUUUUCUCUCGCCACCUAGCCCCUCUUCUCUUCCAGGUUUCCAAAAUGCCUUUCCAGGCUAGAACCCAGGUUGUGGUCUGCUGGCCGGACACAACAAUUGGCGAACCAACGCGGGACUGAGAAACGGCAAAGGAUUUUUGGAAGAGACGCUGCUGGUUCGGAGCUCCAUAAAAUAAAGGAUAAGGGAAAUUCAUACCGGAGAAGGUAUGGGCUAAGCUGAGACAGCGUUAAACCCGAGCGCUGGUUCACUUAGGUUCAGCAGUGAGGAGCUGGGUAAUAGGCGGUAGGCCGUAGCUCUCCGAAGCUACAUGAGGUGUGAGAAAAGAAAGGGUUUAUUAAAAGGAAUAGGCGGAUUGCCCCAGUUAAUAAAAAAUGCAUCAUAAGGGAGGAAAGUGUCCCCAAAAGCAGAGAGAAAUUUCUCUCUGGGCCUUAUAGCAAGAGUACUCUGUUCCCUUUUGUGUCUUGUCUAAUGUCCGGUGCACCAAUCUGUUCUCGUGUUCAAUUCAUGUAUGUUCGUGUCCAGUCUGUAUGAAUGAAUGUUCUAUGUUUUGUGUUGGAUAAUAAAGAUGGUAUAAAAAACUUUAUCUGCAAAGCCGAGAGCCACGUGUUUCAGCCAGGAAUCAGACACGUGGCGAGAGGGCCCCUGCUGGAAAAACUGUUCGUUUUAGGAAAUAAGGGCGAGUGCACAGCCUCUAAGUUUCAGAGUAAAAAAGCUAGUAAAUGGUUCAUGAUUAAUGUGUUUGACAAUGGUAAAGUGUUUUUUAUUUUUAUGGUUGUAGCUACAAAAAUUAUUAUUCUCUGAUUGGUCUAAAUGUAACUGCUUCAUUUGGUUCUUUUUUAUUGAUAAUGUGCUCUGAGUGUUUUCACAAUCAGCUCAUAAGUUGUUGGUUAAGAUUAAUAAUUGUUACAUUGCUACAGAUGGUUAGUGUUAAAUUUAAUAACUCAAGUUUAGAGUCCUUCCGACACAUGGCAUAAGGCAGCCCAAGAGGCUGGGUCUCUAAAGAUAUUUCUAGUUUAGGUAAUAAUUAAUGUGGUUCGUAUCCUAAAUAGUAAAAUUUAAAAUAAGAUUUAAAGCAAUGUCUCUUUAUUAAAGCAUUAAAGCUUGCUUUAAUAGGUAUUCAUAGGUAUUAAUUGACAUCCAAACUUCGUAAUAUGAUAGUAAUGCUUCUAAUAUUGAUUUUAAAGAUAAUAAAUUGUUUUAAACUUGGGUUUUGCUUUCCCAAGGUUACAGGUAUUAUCCUAACCUUGCACAAAAAACUUAAAAAUUAUGGUUAAAACUGCUAUUGUUCCAUUGACUGCAGCUUGCAGUUUGACUUCAAAUUUAAGAUCUUUAAUUCACCUGUAUACUGUAAUUAAGAUAAUUACAAGAGUAAUCAUCUUAUGAGAGCGCUCAUACAGCUCACUUCGUACAAAACUGUGACAGAGUUAUCUAGUUAUGUUUGUCUUUGUAAAUAGAUUAGACAAACAGUUUGGUUAUAGUUGCUGCCUGGCAGGAAACUGCAGUACGGGCAAUUUUUUCACAACACUAAAGUUGUGAAGAACGUUUUAACUGUAAGUCAUCUUAAGAAAGAGUAUCAAAAUUUGGAGGCGUAGACAGUUAUAUUGUUUCUCUAGAAUCGGUCCUUAUUACAAGAGGGCCAGGAUGCUCAGAUUAAAAAGUAUUUUACGUUUGAGUCAAUGCAGGGCUCUGGGCAGCCCCAGAGCAGCUUGUGGCCUUUCUUUUGUUUUGCAAACAGUGCCUGAGAAAGAUUUUUCCCUGUGUUCAAGAGAAAUUCUUUUUAACAGUGUUGCAGAUCUAUUCAGAUGUUUAAAAUAAUGCUUAAAUUCAAAGAGUUUUGCUUCUAGUGAACUGUAAUCACUAGAAAAUUUUGCCUCUAGGUAUGGCUAAUGUAACUUUACAUUAUGUAAGAAAAAAUUGUUAUUGUUUCUGCUUCUAUACAAGAAGCCAAGAUUUUUAAUCUUUCAGUGUAUAUUGUUUCCUAAGUGAAAAGUAUUUUAUUAACUAAUGCUUCUUGAAGUUUACCUUAAAUCCUUGCUCUCACCCAAAAGAUUCAGAGACAAUAUCCUUUUAUUACUUAGGGUUUUAGUUUACUACAAAAGUUUCUACAAAAAAUAAAGCUUUUAUAAUUGUUAUUAAUUGGUAAUUAAAAAUUGGUUGUGCCCAAAACAAUUCUUUGGCCAAAAAGAAAACAUUAUUGUAAAGUCAUUUUUCUCAUCCUCCCAGCCGAUCGUUGGCCCACGUGGGCCCAACUAGCUUCUGUGGGGCGGAGUCUUAAGACACAGUUUCCCCUGUUCCAGCACAGAUGAUCUAGUUGUGUGCUGUAGAUGGUGUUUUAAAAUGCUGAACAAUCAAACCUUAAUUUGUAUAUUAAUAGUCAAUGCCAUAUCUCUGAGCUCGCAAUUGCUUAAAUUGUUCAUCCCUCAGAUACUAUUAAUUCUCAAAUUUACAAUUGCUUAUGCAUAUUUCUAGUUAAUAAAUAAAUUAUGCACAUGUGACUCUUAAUAACUUUGCAAGCCUUCUAGUUACAACUGCUCCUUAAGAAAAUUGAUUAAAAGUGCAAUUAGUCACUGCCCCUUUACAGCCAAGUAUUUAAAAUGUUUUGUCAACUAGUUAUUAAUUCAAAGGUUUAGGUAUUGUAAAAUUUUAAAACUUUAACUUCUUAAAAGACAAAAAAGAGAGAAAUUGUAUCUCCGUGCAUACUAUUUAGUGCAUUCCCAUGCACACUAUUUAAGUCUUACCUUUAUUUUCAAAAUCUAAUAUUUUAAUGUCAAAGAGUUUAAUAAAUGCUUUAUAGUAUCUUAAAGGGAUCUACUUAUUGGCUUAUAGAUUGAUCCUAAAACAGCUACCUUAUUAGAAAAGGGAAAAACAGGUUUUCUCCACAAAACGCUUCAAAAACAUAUUAAUUCGUGUGACGAGCUGGUAGGUAAGUUGACUCAUGUCCUGAUUGUAUUGACUAAAAAACUAAAUUAAAUUCAUGUUUUAGAUCCAUCCUUACUUGUCAUUUUUCCAGUUUAGACUAGCUUCUAGCCUUUUAACUUUAUGGCAAUAGUACAUCAGAGACUGUAUAUUCAGACUUAGUAAAAUUAGUCAUUUAAUAGAGUCAUAAUGAUUUUUCUCCUUUCUUCAGUGUGACCAGCCAUUCUAACUCAAUCUCAGACUGGUCUAAUAUUCAGUCCAAUGUUAGAGAUUCCUAUAUUCUAAAUUACCUAGCAAAGUUAAUUCAGAGCACAUCCCCCACUUCCCCUAGAUCCAUAACCUCAGAAGGAUUGCUGGCCUUACAGCUAGU
This 3321-nucleotide long non-coding RNA is filed under the name Mus musculus (house mouse). RNAcentral's name for it is "long non-coding RNA chr4:137381674-137384995". Lineage: Eukaryota; Metazoa; Chordata; Mammalia; Rodentia; Muridae. The record is from RNAcentral.